RNAcentral lists this ribosomal RNA (253 nucleotides) under uncultured bacterium. RNAcentral describes it as "partial 16S ribosomal RNA". It matches the Rfam family "Bacterial small subunit ribosomal RNA", at positions 524 to 776 of the family's 1533-position model. The record is from RNAcentral.
UACGGGGGGGGCAAGCGUUGUUCGGAUUUACUGGGCGUAAAGGGCGCGUAGGCGGCGCGGUAAGUCACUUGUGAAAUCUCUGAGCUUAACUCAGAACGGCCAAGUGAUACUGCAGUGCUAGAGUGUGGAAGGGGCAAUCGGAAUUCUUGGUGUAGCGGUGAAAUGCGUAGAUAUCAAGAGGAACACCUGAGGUGAAGACGGGUUGCUGGGCCAACACUGACGCUGAUGCGCGAAAGCCAGGGGAGCAAACGGG